Molecule: small nucleolar RNA, 146 nt
Filed under: Echinops telfairi (small Madagascar hedgehog)
Lineage: Eukaryota; Metazoa; Chordata; Mammalia; Afrosoricida; Tenrecidae
Description: Small nucleolar RNA SNORA48 (ENSETEG00000025186.1)
Rfam family: Small nucleolar RNA SNORA48
About the family: The snoRNA ACA 48 has been identified to guide pseudouridylation of the residue U3797 in the 28S rRNA subunit. Its host gene EIF4A1 (eukaryotic translation initiation factor 4A1) is shared with U67 and snoRNA mgU6-77
Source: RNAcentral
AACCCCUGGCUAUGGGCAAAGAGACACCUGAUUGGUGGUGGUGCUCUUAUAUCAGUCAGGGGCAGAGCAGACUGGCAGUCCUUUGUUCAUCCUAGCUUGAUGCCUACGAAUCACGGCCAGAACUGUUUCAUGCCUAGGUCACAUAA